UACGUAGGGUCCGAGCGUUGUCCGGAAUUAUUGGGCGUAAAGGGCUCGUAGGCGGUUUGUCGCGUCGGGCGUGAAAACUCAGGGCUCAACCCUGAGCGUGCUUCCGAUACGGGCAGACUAGAGGUAUGCAGGGGAGAACGGAAUUCCUGGUGUAGCGGUGGAAUGCGCAGAUAUCAGGAGGAACACCGGUGGCGAAGGCGGUUCUCUGGGCAUGACCUGACGCUGGGGAGCGAAAGCAUGGGGAGCGAACAGG
Molecule: ribosomal RNA, 253 nt
Filed under: uncultured bacterium
Lineage: Bacteria
Description: partial 16S ribosomal RNA
Rfam family: Bacterial small subunit ribosomal RNA
Source: RNAcentral